This 582-nucleotide ribosomal RNA is filed under the name uncultured bacterium. RNAcentral's name for it is "partial 16S ribosomal RNA". It matches the Rfam family "Bacterial small subunit ribosomal RNA", at positions 357 to 1375 of the family's 1533-position model. The record is from RNAcentral.
UGGGAAUUUGGACAAUGGGCGAAAGCCUGAUCCAGCAAUGCCGCGUGUGUGAAGAGGGCCUUCGGGUUGUAAAGCACUUUUGUCCGGAAAGAAAUCCUUGGCUCUAAUACAGUCGGGGGAUGACGGUACCGGAAGAAUAAGCACCGGCUAACUACGUGCCAGCAGCCGCGGUAAUACGUAGGGUGCAAGCGUUAAUCGGAAUUACUGGGCGUAAAGCGUGCGCAGGCGGUUUGCUAAGACCGAUGUGAAAUCCCCGGGCUCAACCUGGGAACUGCAUUGGUGACUGGCAGGCUAGAGUAUGGCAGAGGGGGGUAGAAUUCCACGUGUAGCAGUGAAAUGCGUAGAGAUGUGGAGGAAUACCGAUGGCGAAGGCAGCCCCCUGGGCCAAUACUGACGCUCACGCACGAAAGCGUGGGGGCAAACAGGAUUAGAUACCCUGGUAGUCCACGCCCUAAACGAUGUCAACUAGUUGUUGGGGAUUCAUUUCCUUAGUAACGUAGCUAACGCGUGAAGUUGACCGCCUGGGGAGUACGGUCGCAAGAUUAAAACUCAAAUGAAUUGACGGGGUCAUAGCUGUUUCCU